This 254-nucleotide ribosomal RNA is filed under the name uncultured bacterium. RNAcentral describes it as "partial 16S ribosomal RNA". It matches the Rfam family "Bacterial small subunit ribosomal RNA", at positions 524 to 776 of the family's 1533-position model. The record is from RNAcentral.
UACGGGGGGAGCAAGCGUUGUUCGGAUUUACUGGGCGUAAAGGGCGCGUAGGCGGUCGUGACAAGUCACUUGUGAAAUCUCCGGGCUUAACUCGGAAAGGUCAAGUGAUACUGUCGGACUAGAGUACAGAAGGGGCAACUGGAAUUCUCGGUGUAGCGGUGAAAUGCGUAGAUAUCGAGAGGAACACCUGCGGCGAAGGCGGGUUGCUGGGCUGAUACUGACGCUGAGGCGCGAAAGCGUGGGGAGCAAACAGG